UCCCGUCGGGGUUCCAGUAGAUGAUG
Molecule: small RNA, 26 nt
Filed under: Bombyx mori (domestic silkworm)
Lineage: Eukaryota; Metazoa; Arthropoda; Insecta; Lepidoptera; Bombycidae
Description: ovarian small RNA-27340
Source: RNAcentral